RNAcentral lists this transfer RNA (71 nucleotides) under Plestiodon liui. RNAcentral describes it as "tRNA-Trp". It matches the Rfam family "tRNA". From Rfam's summary of the family: Transfer RNA (tRNA) molecules are approximately 80 nucleotides in length. Their secondary structure includes four short double-helical elements and three loops (D, anti-codon, and T loops). Lineage: Eukaryota; Metazoa; Chordata; Lepidosauria; Squamata; Scincidae. The record is from RNAcentral.
GAAGCUUAGGUUAAACUUUAAACCAAAGGCCUUCAAAGCCUUAAACAAGAGUUAAACCCUCUUAGCUUCUG